Felis catus (domestic cat) is the source of this 2704-nucleotide long non-coding RNA. RefSeq lists it as uncharacterized. NCBI's taxonomy places the organism in Eukaryota, Metazoa, Chordata, Mammalia, Carnivora, Felidae. The transcript has 3 exons. The record is from RefSeq and is a predicted model, not a curated record.
ACUAAGGAAAGAAAGGCAGGCUGCCAUUUUUUGUGAGGGCACUCAGGCCGAGGCCAGGGCACGCGCCAUCUUUAUUGAGGGCAAAGGCAGGCCUGGGUCCGUUAAUUUAAGCGGGAGAUGGGAACCCAACCCUCAAAGUUCACCGGCCCUCGAAGUUCCUAACCCAGUAUGUGCUUCUCUAGAAUAAUGACCCCUAACCUUAGAGUCUGUGCCUCCAAAAGGCUUCCGCCUCGAGCUGAAACUCAGAUAAUCCCGGGCUGCGUCACUUGAGAAGAAGCCUACCUGCGGAAUCCCACCUCAAGCAGUCAUUUGCACACUUAGGUUGAAGCAAAUAAGCUCAUCCUUUUGAGCCAGUGGUCGGAAACAUUCCUCCAAUCUCUCACCAGGGAUCCCUUAUUCUUUUUAGGGCUCAAGCGCACCUGAGAUCAGUAAACUGAGGCCCAGAGAGAGGAAAUGACUCUCCCAAAGCCGUGCACGGUAAGCGUGUGGACAGCAGCCACACCCACGGCUCCUGCCAACUAGAUCGGGGCUCUCCACAACGCUGGCUGCCGUUCUUAAUGCACAGAUCAAUCGCUAAACACAGAUAAUUUUGACAGAGCUGGGUCAGUGAAGUCAACCUUUCUCUCCCCAUCUCAGCAUUGCUACCUUCCUCUGCAGGCGGUCAGAAGGAUCCUGGAUGAAAAUGACCUGAAAAGAUGGCAGAUGAAAAGCGCUUGAGGAAAGAAACGAGAGAGAGGACUCACACAUUUCGAGCGUCUGUCACAAGGCGUCACCUCGCUGACAUCCCGCGGCAGAGUCCUCUGGAACAGGUGCGACCGUCAUCACCGUUUUACCCACAGAUAAGAAGACUGAGACCAAAAGAGUAAAUUUCAGGUCUUCCUCAACAGAAGCUAAGAGUUCCCACUGCUUGAAGAGAAACGGCAGCCUAGCAAAGUCCAAGGUUCCCAGAGAUGUAAGCCCAAAUAUGUUGAUGCUUAAAUAAAAUUUAUACUGUUCGUAGUGCAGAAGACCAGGCUUGAUUUUAGACAAGCAACAGAAAUGUACAUUACCAAGUAACGUCUCUUAAGUAACUUCACAAAAAAGGAAAACGAGAGGAAAAACCCCACCGCAUACACUUACACCGUCUUACACAAGAAUAUCCCAAGGUACUUAAAGAUCUAUCAAAGUAAAUCUGUAUUCAUCAAAUAUGAAGUGCAGGAAUAUCUUAUUACUCAACAAGAAGGAACUAGUCGAUUUAAGUCUCGCUCGACUGUCAGAAAAUUAUAAAGGAAAUAAUGUGCUUUCCAAAGAGUUGCUAACAACAAUUUAUUAGCCAAUUUCCAAGGCUCUUAGAAAGUUAAUCAAAAUAUGUUUGUUCCUCAUUUCUCUACAUGGUUAGAUUAUUCGGCAUUCGGAAGAAUAAACAGUUACUUUUAAUGACAGUGUUUGCCGAACUCACCAACCUACAAGAAAAGGAUAUUAUCUUGGAAUACCUAAUCACUUCGUGAUAUCUCAUAAUCAUAACGUGGCCAGUGCUCUCAAAGUGGCUGCUAUUCCUGUAAGUGGACUUCCCCGUCAUAAUCCUGCUCUGCGCACUCAAAAGACCGAUUUAAGCAGUCAUCUUUCUCCCUGGAGACGGUGCUCCUUAGUUGCUGAUGUUAAAACAAACAAACAAAAAAUCCAUGAGUGGCUUUAUGGAUCCUGAUAAAGUGGAUGGCUAGUCUAGAUAGCAUGCUUCACUUUUCCUGGGUAGACUUUAAAACAAUGGGAAAGGAGCUGUUUUCUCUCUCUCUUUUUAAAUAUAGAAGGGAGUGGGAAAGUUUGGUUGCGAGACUGCACUAGGGGGUGCUUUCCAUGUUACUCAUGGCCCACCGCCAAUUUCUGCAUGUAUAAGAAUUAAAUCACUCAGCAAAUAGAAAGCUUUCCCUGUGUGUGACUUCUUUUACAGAAUAAAGCCUUUACAACACCCCCUUUCAUGGUCUCCCUCUGUUAGAGGCUGUUGAAUGCUUUUUGAAGCAAAGGUCAAUGAUAUAAAUGCAAUGAAAUCAAAGACAGGGGGAAAAAAAGUCCUGUUAACAGACCACUUAUGUGUAUCCAUAGAUUUGAAAUGAAAGGACCAAAGACUCAUAGCUUCAUGUCUGGCAAAUAAGGACACAGAACUAGAUUUCGAACAGAAGUCAGAAAUCUAUUCUACUGAGAUCAACUAACAAAGGAUUUAAGAUAGAAUUUGCUCAUCUGGUGUCGCUUUUACAGACAUGGGUUAGUUACUCGUUAAGUACUAAUAGAGUAUGGAGAAUUACAUCAGAAAGACGAAUACAGAAGUAUUUAUAAAGAAAGCACAAGCAUUGUGGAACUAUGCUGUACAACGUAUAACUAAGCAUAUUCUAUACAUUUCUUAAAUUAUCCCAAACAGAAUUCUCAGAUUUUCUUAUGGUUGUUAAGUACUUAGUUAUAAAAUUUAUCACAUUCGUAAGUGUGAACAACUAGUACAAGGCUUGAACACUGAAAAAUGAUCUCUUAAGGGGUGCUUGGCUGGCUCAGCCAGAAGAGCACGCCAUUCUUGAUCUUGGGGUCAUGACUUCUAGCUCCACGUUGGGUGUAGAUUACUUAAUUAAGUCAAACUUUAAAAAAUUAUCUAGAUGAGUAGAUGGAAAGUCUCCAGGAUUUCCAUUAUUUUAUAACACCAUUGACUAGCACGGGAAGGGUGGAACAUAAGAGGGGAAGU